This 261-nucleotide ribosomal RNA is filed under the name uncultured bacterium. RNAcentral describes it as "partial 16S ribosomal RNA". It matches the Rfam family "Bacterial small subunit ribosomal RNA", at positions 92 to 354 of the family's 1533-position model. The record is from RNAcentral.
UUAGUGGCGGACGGGUGAGUAACGCGUGGGUAACCUGCCUUACACUGGGGGAUAACACUUAGAAAUAGGUGCUAAUACCGCAUAAGCGCACGAAGCCGCAUGGAUUUGUGUGAAAAACUCCGGUGGUGUAAGAUGGACCCGCGUCUGAUUAGCUGUUGGCGGGGUAACGGCCCACCAAGGCGACGAUCAGUAGCCGGCCUGAGAGGGUGGACGGCCACAUUGGGACUGAGACACGGCCCAAACUCCUACGGGAGGCAGCAG